UGGGGAAUAUUGCACAAUGGGCGCAAGCCUGAUGCAGCCAUGCCGCGUGUAUGAAGAAGGCCUUCGGGUUGUAAAGUACUUUCAGCGGGGAGGAAGGUGUUGUGGUUAAUAACCACAGCAAUUGACGUUACCCGCAGAAGAAGCACCGGCUAACUCCGUGCCCGCAGCCGCGGUAAUACGGAGGGUGCAAGCGUUAAUCGGAAUUACUGGGCGUAAAGCGCACGCAGGCGGUCUGUCAAGUCGGAUGUGAAAUCCCCGGGCUCAACCUGGGAACUGCAUCCGAAACUGGCAGGCUUGAGUCUUGUAGAGGGGGGUAGAAUUCCAGGUGUAGCGGUGAAAUGCGUAGAGAUCUGGAGGAAUACCGGUGGCGAAGGCGGCCCCCUGGACAAAGACUGACGCUCAGGUGCGAAAGCGUGGGGAGCAAACA
This 427-nucleotide ribosomal RNA is filed under the name uncultured bacterium. RNAcentral describes it as "partial 16S ribosomal RNA". It matches the Rfam family "Bacterial small subunit ribosomal RNA", at positions 355 to 774 of the family's 1533-position model. The record is from RNAcentral.